GAUGAACGCUGGCGGCGUGCCUAAUACAUGCAAGUCGAGCGAACGGACGAGAAGCUUGCUUCUCUGAUGUUAGCGGCGGACGGGUGAGUAACACGUGGAUAACCUACCUAUAAGACUGGGAUAACUUCGGGAAACCGGAGCUAAUACCGGAUGAUAUUUUGAUCCGCAUGGUUCAAAAGUGAAAGACGGUCUUGCUGUCACUUAUAGAUGGAUCCGCGCUGCAUUAGCUAGUUGGUAAGGUAACGGCUUCCAAGGCAACGAUGCAUAGCCGACCUGAGAGGGUGAUCGGCCACACUGGAACUGAGACACGGUCCAGACUCCUACGGGAGGCAGCAGUAGGGAAUCUUCCGCAAUGGGCGAAAGCCUGACGGAGCAACGCCGCGUGAGUGAUGAAGGUCUUCGGAUCGUAAAACUCUGUUAUUAGGGAAGAACAUAUGUGUAAGUAACUGUGCACAUCUUGACGGUACCUAAUCAGAAAGCCACGGCUAACUACGUG
Molecule: ribosomal RNA, 496 nt
Filed under: uncultured bacterium
Lineage: Bacteria
Description: partial 16S ribosomal RNA
Rfam family: Bacterial small subunit ribosomal RNA
Source: RNAcentral